RNAcentral lists this microRNA (19 nucleotides) under Corchorus olitorius. RNAcentral's name for it is "hsa-miR-54". The record is from RNAcentral. Lineage: Eukaryota; Viridiplantae; Streptophyta; Magnoliopsida; Malvales; Malvaceae.
AAAAAAUGUAAUUACAUUU